CCCGCAUCGUUACACGUGUUUUGCUGGAGGAAGACAAAAUAAAAUAUUUAUUGACAAAUUAAACUAGCUACUACUAUUAAGUUAAUGUUAUUAUUUGCAAGUUGUAAUUUAAUUUAAAUUGCCCCUGCUGUGUAGAGUAGCCCAUGCUGGAGGAAGAAGAUACCACGAUGCCUACUUCCAGCCAAGAUGACGCAACUAUCGUCCAGGAAGAGCAGUUUCUUAAUCCUGACGUAAAGUUUUCUCACUUGUAUUUUUUUUACAUUUUUCUCAGAUAAUUGGUCAAAUUUGCAAACACCUCGCCACCCGGGACAUAAAGACAUGCCGACUUGUAUCGUCCUCUUGGCACUACGGGUCCACCCCUGUUCUAAAAUCCAGGACAAGAACAACCCUCGAACUUUCACCAAUUUAUGACGAGCAUGGCGACCCGUCAGAAGGUUUGGAAGUUUCGGAGGUCUUGGAAAAGCUGAAAUUCCGUCCUGCCAAUAUCUUCAUAACAAUUCCAUACACCGAGGACGAAAAUCUUGCUCCCCUCGAUUACUCCAGAUUUCCUCCAGUCAACAAUUUUAAGUGAAUUACUGUCCAGUUUCCGGUGUCCUUCUCCACUAUCGAGAAUCACUUCUAUGAUCAGAAGGAAUUAUGCACAAAACUGAUCUUGUCGGCGGUCAAGUCGCUAGAAGAAUUAAAAUUGGAUGGGACCGAGGAGGAAGACUGGGGGGAAGAGAUUUCCCAAGAUUUCCCCUCCCUGGGUGGCACCGUCUUCCCAAAACUGGUCAAGUUAGACGUCAAUCAUCGCCUUCAUCCCGACGUUGCCAUUACAAGAUUUGGACAAGCUGUGACGACAUCCUCUCCAAAUCUGAAAUAUCUGUCGACAAUGUGCGACAACAUGGUGCAAAUUUUAAGGGUGGAAUUUUAAGGGUGGAACAUUACCAAGUUGGCCACAAUCCCUCACUUGCUUAGAGUUGAACGGAAAUUUAACCACCGAUGGAAUGGAACAUCUACUCAAAAUUCCUGUCACUUUGAAAAAAACUUACUGUUGGGGGUUCAUCCACUGACGUUGAAGAAACUACCCAUCGCGUCGAGGAAGUUCCCACAAUUUUGUACAAAUUCCUAAAGAAACACGCCCCCACCUUGCAAGAACUUCGGGUCUACGUGAAAUUCGUCACCAGUUGGCGCAUGCUUACAUGGAAAUUUCCAAUAUUUCCAGCCUUGAAAAAACUUCACGUCGAGUAUGGUGGCCUGGCAAUAGUCGAGUUCGAGACCAACAUUGCAGAAUAUUUUCGACCGAUUGAUUACGCCGUGGGUUUCCCAGUUUUGGAAGUCUUGCAAAUUUUCGGUGAGUCUGUCAGGGGGGACUCAUUCCUUCCUGAUAAUCGUCAAGUUGUCGAGUCUGUGAGGGAGGUUGAUGUCAGAACUUUUAAUCAUGAGGAAAUUACUGAAAUGACAGAAAUGGAUACGGAGACCUUGUACGAUAUUAGAGGUCAGGCUGGGGUGUAUGUCCGACUUUUGGAUAUUUUUCCUAAUGCGAGAGAUUGUGUUAUGGCUUGUUUAAGGAAAUUACUUGACAUUCAGGAAUAAUUGGUGAAAGUACAUAUUAAUAGUUCCAACAUAUGUUAUCUCUUAAAAUGAUUGUGGGCGCAGGAAUUGUAAUUGUUUAUUGAUAUUCAAAUUAUGGAUUACCAAAUGCGAAUGAAUUGCUAAUAUUUUCUCGUAAAAUAAAUAUAAAAAAAUGU
Folsomia candida is the source of this 1730-nucleotide long non-coding RNA. RefSeq lists it as uncharacterized. NCBI's taxonomy places the organism in Eukaryota, Metazoa, Arthropoda, Collembola, Entomobryomorpha, Isotomidae. The transcript has 3 exons. The record is from RefSeq and is a predicted model, not a curated record.